RNAcentral lists this ribosomal RNA (250 nucleotides) under uncultured bacterium. Its description in RNAcentral is "partial 16S ribosomal RNA". It matches the Rfam family "Bacterial small subunit ribosomal RNA", at positions 524 to 773 of the family's 1533-position model. The record is from RNAcentral.
UACGGAGGGAGCUAGCGUUGUUCGGAAUUACUGGGCGUAAAGCGUACGUAGGCGGUUUUGUAAGUUAGGAGUGAAAUCCCCGGGCUCAACCUGGGAACUGCUCUUAAGACUGCAGAACUUGAGGACGAGAGAGGAAAGUGGAAUUCCAAGUGUAGAGGUGAAAUUCGUAGAUAUUUGGAAGAACACCGGUGGCGAAGGCGACUUUCUGGCUCGUAACUGACGCUGAGGUACGAAAGUGUGGGGAGCAAAC